Molecule: non-coding RNA, 82 nt
Organism: Testicularia cyperi
Lineage: Eukaryota; Fungi; Basidiomycota; Ustilaginomycetes; Ustilaginales; Anthracoideaceae
Source: the annotation of a GenBank genome assembly
GCUCUGAUCGAUUAACGGUUAAAUCAUUCGCUUCACAAGCGCGCUUCCGCGAGGGCUCCAGGUUCGAUUCCUGGUCAGAGCA